AGGGAGAUAGUUAACGGUAGACAAAACGGCUCCAACCCGUUAAGUGUGGGUUCGAAUCCUACUCUCCCUG
Molecule: transfer RNA, 70 nt
Filed under: Caudoviricetes sp.
Lineage: Duplodnaviria; Heunggongvirae; Uroviricota; Caudoviricetes
Description: tRNA-Trp
Rfam family: tRNA
About the family: Transfer RNA (tRNA) molecules are approximately 80 nucleotides in length. Their secondary structure includes four short double-helical elements and three loops (D, anti-codon, and T loops). Further hydrogen bonds mediate the characteristic L-shaped molecular structure. tRNAs have two regions of fundamental functional importance: the anti-codon, which is responsible for specific mRNA codon recognition, and the 3' end, to which the tRNAs corresponding amino acid is attached (by aminoacyl-tRNA synthetases). tRNAs cope with the degeneracy of the genetic code in two manners: having more than one tRNA (with a specific anti-codon) for a particular amino acid; and 'wobble' base-pairing, i.e. permitting non-standard base-pairing at the 3rd anti-codon position.
Source: RNAcentral